Molecule: unclassified non-coding RNA, 339 nt
Filed under: uncultured Boletales
Lineage: Eukaryota; Fungi; Basidiomycota; Agaricomycetes; Boletales
Description: sequence contains 5.8S rRNA gene, ITS2, 28S rRNA gene
Rfam family: 5.8S ribosomal RNA (bases 1-52)
Source: RNAcentral
AACGCACCUUGCGCUCCUUGGUAUUCCGAGGAGCAUGCCUGUUUGAGUGUCAUUGAAUUCUCAACCAUGUCUUUCGAUCGAAGGAUUUAUGGCUUGGAGCUGGGGGUUUUGCUGGCUAAUCAGUCAGCUCUCCUGAAAUGCAUUAGCGAUCUGGACUAGUUGGACGUGCACGGCCUUUCUGCGACGUGGUACUGAUCUCGUCUUGGGGAGGGGCUGGAGCGUGCAACGGUUUCAUGUCUGUUUGCUUCCAAUCUCUAGUUUUUGGUUACUAGUUGGUACCCAAAUCCUAAUCAUUGAACGAUUGACCUCAAAUCAGGUAGGACUACCCGCUGAACUUAA